RNAcentral lists this ribosomal RNA (373 nucleotides) under uncultured organism. Its description in RNAcentral is "partial 16S ribosomal RNA". It matches the Rfam family "Bacterial small subunit ribosomal RNA", at positions 527 to 896 of the family's 1533-position model. The record is from RNAcentral.
GUAGGUGGCAAGCGUUGUCCGGAAUUAUUGGGCGUAAAGCGCGCGCAGGCGGUUCUUUAAGUCUGAUGUGAAAGCCCACGGCUCAACCGUGGAGGGUCAUUGGAAACUGGAGAACUUGAGUACAGAAGAGGAAAGCGGAAUUCCACGUGUAGCGGUGAAAUGCGUAGAGAUGUGGAGGAACACCAGUGGCGAAGGCGGCUUUUCUGGUCUGUAACUGACGCUGAGGCGCGAAAGCGUGGGGAGCAAACAGGGAUUAGGAUACCCUGGUAGUCCACGCCGUAAACGAUGAGUGCUAAGUGUUAGGGGGUUUCCGCCCCUUAGUGCUGCAGCUAACGCAUUAAGCACUCCGCCUGGGGAUACGGCCGCAAGGCUG